Molecule: ribosomal RNA, 252 nt
Filed under: uncultured bacterium
Lineage: Bacteria
Description: partial 16S ribosomal RNA
Rfam family: Archaeal small subunit ribosomal RNA
Source: RNAcentral
UACCAGCACCCCGAGUGGUCGGGACGAUUAUUGGGCCUAAAGCAUCCGUAGCCGGUCAUGCAAGUCUUCCGUUAAAUCCAGCCGCUCAACGGUUGGGCUGCGGAGGAUACUACGUGGCUAGGAGGCGGGAGAGGCAAGCGGUACUCAGUGGGUAGGGGUAAAAUCCUUUGAUCCAUUGAAGACCACCAGUGGCGAAGGCGGCUUGCCAGAAUGCGCUCGACGGUGAGGGAUGAAAGCUGGGGGAGCAACCGG